GAUGAACGCUGGCGGCGUGCCUAAUACAUGCAAGUCGAGCGAACAGACUAGGAUUUUGCUCCUCUGACGUUAGCGGCACACGUGUGUGUCACACGUGUAUCAUCUACCUAUAUUACUGGGAUAACUUGGGAAAACGUGAUCUAAUACCGUAUACUAUAUUGAACCGCUUGGUUCAGUUGGAAAAGGCGGUUUUGCUGUCACUUAGACAUGCAUCCUCGCCGCUUGAGCUAGUUGGUAAGGUAACGGCUUACCAAGGCAACGAUGCGUAGCCGACCUGAGAGGGUGAUAGGCCACACUGGAACUGAGAGACGGUCCUGACGCCUACGGGAGGCAGGAGUAGGGAAUCGGCCGCAAUGGGCGAAAGCCUGACGGAGCAACGCCGCGUGAGUGAUGAAGGUAUUCGGAUCGUAAAACUCUGUUAUUAGGGAAGAAAAAAUGUGUAAGUAACUAUGCACGUCUUGACGGUACCUAGUAAGAAAGCCACGGCUAACUACGUG
This 497-nucleotide ribosomal RNA is filed under the name uncultured bacterium. RNAcentral describes it as "partial 16S ribosomal RNA". It matches the Rfam family "Bacterial small subunit ribosomal RNA", at positions 28 to 507 of the family's 1533-position model. The record is from RNAcentral.